This is a non-coding RNA of Triticum urartu, 571 nucleotides long. The record is from RefSeq and is a predicted model, not a curated record. Lineage: Eukaryota; Viridiplantae; Streptophyta; Magnoliopsida; Poales; Poaceae.
GUGGAGAACGGCUAUAGCGUGGACGAGCUCGUUUGCUCCUGGUACGUGGACCAAUGGUACAGCGUGUACAUGGGGCUGGCAUUAAUACGUGGGAGACGCACACGCGGGUGCAUCGCCGCUGCCAACCGGCGAGGUUGCCUCAACCGUGCAGAUGCAAAAGCAGACGGAGCAGGAGGAGGAGUGCCGAACGUAUAGGUAUAGCUAGCCUCCGUCUCCACGAGACACGCCCGAGCUCUUCCCCGAUCUUAUCGCUGCUCUGCGUCGCAUCGUCCCUCUCCAGCGGCGACUCCAAUGUGAAGUGUAGUAGUACUGUCAAGAUGUGAGCAUAAUCUCAUUUUUCUCUAUUUAGGUUCAGUCCCGUUCAGUUAGGUUCAGGUCCACCUUACUGGCAUGACAACAUGGGGCUCUGACGGGAAGAUGGCAUCUGAAGCAUAGUAGUAAUGUCUACGCUUCUGAUCUGUAUCUACCUUGGCCAUUUUUUGGAAACGUCUUGUAGGGUCAAUGGUAUUCGUGAGCGAAUAUUUUUUCCUCUUGAACAUGGCAAGUUUGAAAGAAAUUUCUAUUGGUCACA